RNAcentral lists this ribosomal RNA (332 nucleotides) under uncultured bacterium. RNAcentral describes it as "bacterial SSU rRNA". It matches the Rfam family "Bacterial small subunit ribosomal RNA", at positions 568 to 898 of the family's 1533-position model. The record is from RNAcentral.
CGUGUAGGCGGUUAUGUAAGUCAGAUGUGAAAGCCUUCCGCUUAACGGGAGAAGUGCAUUUGAAACUACAUGACUGGAGUACGGGAGAGGAGAGUGGAAUUCCCGGUGUAGAGGUGAAAUUCGUAGAUAUCGGGAGGAACACCAGUGGCGAAGGCGGCUCUCUGGCCUGAUACUGACGCUGAGACGCGAAAGCGUGGGGAGCAAACAGGAUUAGAUACCCUGGUAGUCCACGCCGUAAACGAUGGGCACUAGGUGUAGGAGGUAUUGACCCCUUCUGUGCCGAAGCUAACGCAUUAAGUGCCCCGCCUGGGGAGUACGGCCGCAAGGUUAAA